UUCGAUACUAUGGGCAUAUAGGACUUCGCACAAGACAGCAACUGGUGAAAUGCCAUUCAUGCUUGCUUUCGGACUUGAGGCUACCAUUCCAAUCGAGGUUAGCCUCCCCACAAUAAGAAAGCUCAAGACAAAUAAAGAGACGCAAACUACCGAGCACCUCGACUUACUUGAAGAGGUAAGGGAGCAAGCUUCCCUUAGGACUACAAGUUACCAAAACAGAACGGCAA
This 227-nucleotide long non-coding RNA is filed under the name Olea europaea (common olive). Its description in RNAcentral is "long non-coding RNA (OEUR_LNC004125)". The record is from RNAcentral. Lineage: Eukaryota; Viridiplantae; Streptophyta; Magnoliopsida; Lamiales; Oleaceae.